UGCCGUGCGUUGAUAGGAGCACAGUGUCC
RNAcentral lists this non-coding RNA (29 nucleotides) under Homo sapiens (human). Lineage: Eukaryota; Metazoa; Chordata; Mammalia; Primates; Hominidae. The record is from RNAcentral.